GUGAAUCAUAGAAUGUUAAGCACUACACCAUGACUUAAGAUUAGAUUCAAGGAGACCUAUUAAGAAUAGAAUUUCUUGUAGGCUUUGUGGACCAAGGGGAUUAGCACUGUUUUCCCAAGACAGGUUAUGUGAUUAUGAUCUUCAGGCUUUGCCUAUCCAGGUGGGCAUUACUUUUACUAUACGUAUAUAGAGAUCCCCUGCGUGUCGUGGGCCUCUUAUACGAAUAUAUGCAUGAGAUGAUUUUUAACUGUUAAUUUCAGUUUAUUAUUAUGCCCAAAUGAUAAAUGACUCUUAUGAAAUGAAAAUGAAAUGUUCAUGAAAUGAAAUGAAAUGUUUAUGAAAUGAUUGACUGCCUAAAAAUGUUUAUGUUUUUAUAUGUAUCCUAUCUGUGUUGGUUCGCCAACUUUGAAGGAAAUCCAAUUGGGAUCCUAUGCUAGACAAAGGUCGCUAGCUAGGGUUAACGUGUACACUUAUGGAGACCGCGAGUCGCUUGCGACCGGUCUUGGCGUCCGUGGUAAGGAGGCCUCCUUCCCGGCGCGUGACAGAAAGGAACAGAUAUGGAUCAUAUGAAGGAAAAUGAUCGGCCGAUCGACUUUAUGAAAAUGAAAGAAAUAUUUUAGUAAGCGCAGGUCAUUUAAGAAAACCCCUGUGUGUUACUGUUAUGGCAGUUCAAUUUAUAUAUGUAUGCAUGUUGUAUUUUCGGCUAUGCCCACUGAGUAUUUUUAUACUCAGCCCUGCAUGUAUUUCUAAAUGUGCAGGUUGAGCAGUUGAUGGAAUGGAAUGAUGUUGAGCGGGUGUUCCUUUGACAUUUCAAG
Molecule: long non-coding RNA, 815 nt
Filed under: Salvia miltiorrhiza (redroot sage)
Lineage: Eukaryota; Viridiplantae; Streptophyta; Magnoliopsida; Lamiales; Lamiaceae
Description: long non-coding RNA (SMIL_LNC007826)
Source: RNAcentral